Molecule: long non-coding RNA, 382 nt
Filed under: Ananas comosus (pineapple)
Lineage: Eukaryota; Viridiplantae; Streptophyta; Magnoliopsida; Poales; Bromeliaceae
Description: long non-coding RNA (ACOM_LNC040811)
Source: RNAcentral
GAUAAUUUUUUACAAAUUGAUCAUAAAUUUGUAUAUCAUAUUAAUUCAAAAAUAUGAUUUAUAAAUUUAUCAACCAAUCUAUCUUUUAAAUUAUUUCCACUGUAAUAUAUAGAUAGUCCCAAAAUUUUAAAUUUUAAAUUAAUUUUAAAUUUUGAAUUGAAAUAUAGAAUUACAGUAGAUAUUCUGGCAAAAUUUUGGAUAAGUAUGAAAUUUUUUUUUCUAUUUUAGAGAUAAAAAAAUAAAUAAAAUUUUAAUUAAAAUAUAGAUUCACAAUAAAUAUCUUUCGGUUGGCAAAAAAUUUGGAUAAGUGUAUCUUUUUUUCUAUUUUAGAGAUAAACAAAAAUAAAAAAUUUGUUUCAUUACAUUAUUUAUUUUACGUAAU